RNAcentral lists this non-coding RNA (21 nucleotides) under Caenorhabditis elegans. The record is from RNAcentral. Lineage: Eukaryota; Metazoa; Nematoda; Chromadorea; Rhabditida; Rhabditidae.
UUUUUCAGAACACUUUUGGAA